Molecule: ribosomal RNA, 1377 nt
Filed under: uncultured bacterium
Lineage: Bacteria
Description: partial 16S ribosomal RNA
Rfam family: Bacterial small subunit ribosomal RNA
Source: RNAcentral
AGUUUGAUCCUGGCUCAGGACGAACGCUGGCUGCGUGCCUAACGCUUGUCUAUCAAACGGAGCUAAUCAGCUUGCUUUUUAGCUAAUUGGCGGACGGGUGACUAAUGCAUGAGCAUCCUGCCUGUCUGUGGGGGAUAACUUCUUGACCCCGAUGCUAAUACCGCAUAUGUAACAUAUUCCGCAUGGAUAACUGUAUGAGAGGAACAAUCCGCUGACAGAUGGGCUCUCCUCCGAUUAGUUUGUUGGUGGGGCAAUGGCCUGCCCUAGUGCGAUCCGAAGCCGGGGUGAUACGCUGAACGGCCACAUUUGGGACUGAAACACGGCCCACACUCCGACGGCAAGCAUCCGUGGGGGAUAUUGCAUUUUGGGGGAAACCCUGAUGCGCCUCCCCCCCGUGAGGGAAGAAUGUUUUCUGAUUGUAAAGCUCUGUCCUUAGUGAAGAACAUAAUGACGGUAGCUAAGGAGGAAGCUCCGGCUAACUACGUGCCAGCAGCCGCGGUAAUACGUAGGGAGCGAGCGUUGUCCGGAUUUAUUGGGUGUAAAGGGCGUGUAGGCGGCCUUGUAAGUCAGGAGUGUAAAGCAGGGGCUCAACUCCUGAUGUGUGUGGGUAAUGGGGGGGCUGGGGUCGGGUGGAGGCAGAUGAAUUCUCCGGGGUGGGGGGGAAAGGGGUGGUUAUGGGAGGGACCCCCGGGGGGGAGGGGCAUUUGUUGGGCUUGUAUGGCGGUGGGGUCAGGAAAGCAGGGUGGGCAACCGAGAUAGGUUCUCCUGUUGUUCCGUCCGUUAACGGAGGAUCCUAAAGGGAGGAGGGAUUGACCCCUUCCGUGCCGGAGUUAACACAAUAAGUAAUCCACUUCGGAAGUACGAUCGCAAGCAUGAAUCUCAAAGGAAUUGACGCGGGGCCGCACAAGCAGCGGAGUAUGUGGUCUAAUUAGUCGAUACGCGAUGUACCUUACCAGGUGUCGACAUCCACCUUACGAAGCAGAGAUGCAUUUGGUGCCUUUCGAGGAAAGCUGAGACAGGUGGUGCAUUGUGGUGGUCAGCUAUCGUCGUGAGAUAGUGGGCUAAGUGAGGCAAUGAGCGCAACCCAUACCGGUUAGUUGAUAUGUAAGAGCACUGUAACACGACCGCCGUUGAUAAAACGGAGGAAGGUGGGGACGAGGUCAAAUCAUCAUACCCUUUAUGAUCUGGGCUACACACGUAUUACAAUGGCCUGUUACCAGAGGGUUACAAUGGAGCGAUCCGGAGUCAAUCCAUAAAAUCGGUCCCAGUUCAGAUUGCAGCAUCCAAAUUACAAAUAUGAAGUUGGAACAGUUUGUAAUCGCAGAUCAGCAUGUUGGGGUGAAUACGUUCCUGGUCCUGGCACACACUGUCAGUCAA